This is a non-coding RNA of Triticum urartu, 115 nucleotides long. The record is from Rfam. NCBI's taxonomy places the organism in Eukaryota, Viridiplantae, Streptophyta, Magnoliopsida, Poales, Poaceae.
CUUCUACUCCCUCCGUUCGGAAUUACUUGUCUCGGAUAUGAAUGUAUCUAGAACUAAAAUAUAUCUAGAUACAGUCAUCUCUGCGACAAGUAAUUCUAAACGGAGGGAGUAUAAA